Molecule: ribosomal RNA, 498 nt
Filed under: uncultured bacterium
Lineage: Bacteria
Description: partial 16S ribosomal RNA
Rfam family: Bacterial small subunit ribosomal RNA
Source: RNAcentral
AUUGAACGCUGGCGGCAUGCUUUACACAUGCAAGUCGAACGGUAACAGGCCGCAAGGUGCUGACGAGUGGCGAACGGGUGAGUAAUGCAUCGGAACGUGCCCAGUCGUGGGGGAUAACGCAGCGAAAGCUGUGCUAAUACCGCAUACGAUCUAUGGAUGAAAGCGGGGGACCGUAAGGCCUCGCGCGAUUGGAGCGGCCGAUGUCAGAUUAGGUAGUUGGUGGGGUAAAGGCUCACCAAGCCAACGAUCUGUAGCUGGUCUGAGAGGACGACCAGCCACACUGGGACUGGGACCCGGCCCAGACUCCUACGGGAGGCAGCAGUGGGGAAUUUUGGACACUGGGCGCAAGCCUGAUCCAGCAAUGCCGCGUGCAGGAAGAGGGCCUUCGGGUUGUAAACUGCUUUUGUACGGAACGAAAAGGUUUGGGUUAAUACCCUGGGCCGAUGACGGUACCGUAAGAAUAAGCACCGGCUAACUACGUGCCAGCAGCCGCCGUAA